Molecule: long non-coding RNA, 5112 nt
Organism: Globicephala melas (long-finned pilot whale)
Lineage: Eukaryota; Metazoa; Chordata; Mammalia; Artiodactyla; Delphinidae
Source: RefSeq, a predicted model, not a curated record
UUAAACCAUUCUUCAAAUCUAUUAGUCCAAUAAAUGUGACAAAAGUGUGUGGAAAUCCCAGGUGCUUAGACUGACCGUCAGCCCAUUCCUCUGAUGGAAAGGAUGCUGCUUCCUAGCUCUACACAUGAGAAGAACACAUUUCCUGCAGAAGUUCAAUAUUCUAGUCUGAAUACUGGCCCUUGUAAUUUGACAAAAGAUUAUAAAACUAGAUGCUGAGAGCUACUUAGAAUGGUUCUCAGUGGUGUCUGGCUUUUAAUCCUGUCUCCAUGGAUUCUAUUCUGUGGUUAUCCAAGGCACCCAACAUUAUUGAUAACGGGGGUAAUAGAGAUAAAAGCUUGAAAUUAAAAGACUGAAAUCCAAUUCUGUUACUAACUAUGUAACCUUAAGCAAGUCCUUAAUCUCUCAUAACUUCAUAACUAAAAUACAGAUAAGUGUAUUUAAUUUUUAGAUGGCUAGAAUUGUUAGAAAAAAUUUAAAGGUAUUAUCAUGCUUAGGGCAGUGUUUGAUACCUAACAGAAAUUCAGUCAAUGCUUCAUGAAGAAAUUGGCUUCAUUCAUUCAUUCAACAAAUACUUAUGGUGGGUCUACCUGGGGCCAGGAUCUUAUCUAAUUAUUUGGGAUAAGUCAGUAAAUAAAAUAACAAAGUCCCUGCUCUGUUGAGGUUUAUGUGUCUGAGUGUCUGUAUGUGUGUUGUUUCCCCACAUAAUUAGCAAGUAAACAUAUGAAUAAGUUAUUAGGUAGUGGUUUAUGCUAUUUUGAAAAAAACUGAAGAAAUCUAAGAGAAGUAGAGAGUGACAAAAAUAGGGUAUAAUUUUUAAGAUACAGAGUUGUCCCCCAGGAUAACGUGAGAUUUUGGUAGAGGUCCAGAUGAAAUGAACCAUAUGUAUAUCGUAAGCAUGCUUGUUUUGGGAAAGAGAAGAGGCCGGUGGGCCUGGGAUGAAAAGACAAAGAAAGUCUUGGAAGGAAAUGAGAUCAGAGCGGAUGUGGUGGGUGAGGUUGGUACAGAUGAUAGAGUCUCACAGGUUGUUUUAAAGAUUUUGGUUUUUACUUGAGCAAUAAUUUCAGGCAGUGGAGCGAUGUGAUAUGAUUUACGUUCUAAAAGGAACAUUUUUGCUGCUACAUAGUAGACCGUACAAGAGUGGGAAUUAAAAUUCAACAGGCUGCUGUAAUGGUGAAGGUAACAUAAAACUAUGGCUUGGACCAGAAUAGUAGCAGUGUAGGUGGUGGUUAGUAAUCAGAUUCGGAUACAUUCCUAAAGGCGAGGUAAGGGUGACUCCUGUGUUUUUAGCUUUGAGUAACUGUAAGAAUGGGGAUUCAUAUACUAAUAUGACAAAAACAUGGUACAAACAAAUUUUGGAGGGAAAAUAAUCUGAUUUUAUAAUGUUACAUUUGAAGUGCCUUCGUUAAUUUGGCUAAGAGGAGGGUUCAGGGCUAAAGAUAGGAAAUUGGGAGUAGUCAGCAUAUAGGUGGAUUGGGCAGACCAGAGGGGAGGUUGGAAUUUUGAAGCGCUAAACUUCUCAGGAUCUGGAAGAUGAGAAGGAAUCCAGCAAAGGAAGCAGAGACAGGUUAAGAAAUAAGAAAUCGUCAUGUCCUGGGUGCCAGGUGAAGAUGUGUUUCAAGGAGAGAGUGGCUAAAUGUAUUGAACAUUACUGAUAUGUCAAGUCAAAUGAAGACUGAUAAUUGACCUCACUACCAACCAAUCAGAAUAAUGUCCAUGAGUUGAUCAUGCACCCUGAGACUCUGUCCCUCUCCUUGGCUUUAAAACCCCUUCCCUAAAAGCCAUUGAGGAGUUUUGGGUCUUUUGAGCAUUAGCUGCAGUGAUCCUUGUUUAGUGCCUUGCAAUAGAUGCUGUACUUUCCUUCCCCACAAUCUGGCAUCAGUAGGUUGGCUUUGCUGUGCAUCGGGUCAGCAGACCCAGGUUUGUUCAGUAACGUAAUGAUGAUUCCAUAUAAAUGAAACAUGGGUUUGUGUCCAUAAACAUGGAGACAUUAACUUCUAAAACUCAACACCCAUCCUGAGACAGAUAACAGAGACAGUCAGAACAGUAGUACGGCUUCUUACACAAAGCCAAGAUUAAAUGCAAUGCUGCGUCUGUAGAGACCACUAAAAUUAGCAUCAAAUUAAGAAGGGUUGGUAUCAUCACUGUUUUUUAAACAUUAGCUUGGAUGUUCUGUUUUCUAUAAUAAGACAUGGAACAGAAAUAAGUAUAUAAAUAUUGGCGAGGAAGAAAACUGACCACUUUGUAGUUAAAAGCAUAUUUAAUUUUUUAUGACUAAAACAUCAAAGCAAUCACUUGAAAAUUAAAAAAAUGAAACGUGAAUAAAGUGAUAGAUUAAUAUAUAAAAAUCAAAGGCAUUCUUGUAUGUAAAGAAUGACUAAGGAGAAAAAUGUAACAAAAGUUUAAAAGAUACACUUCAAUGUAGCGACAACACAUCAAGUAUUUGCAUAUUGGUAACCACUUCCUGGAUCCCUUGGAGAGCACUGUGUGAGGUAUAUUGGAAAGUGAUACCACUCUUUGCGAUUUAUAUUGAGUCAUUAAAAUAUUCAUGCCCAUUUAUUAUACUAAUUCUAUGGCUGGGAAUUUGCCCUGAGGGAGUAAUCCAAAGUGUGCGAAAUGUUAUACACAGAAAAGUUUCCAGUUCCCUAAGAGUAAAGUAAGAAAUUUUCAAAAUUCUCAGAAGUCGAGGAAUAAUUAAGCAAAUAUGGUUCAUUCUUAUGAUGGAAUAUAAUCUGAUUUUUUUUUUGGUGUCAGGAGUGGGAUAUAAUCUGAUUCUUAAACACGAUGCUUAUAAGGAUUCUUGUGUAAAGUGAAAAAGCAUGCUACAUUUUUGUUACAGUUUUAGUAAAAGUAUAUAAAAUAUUAUUGGGAAAGUAUUGGAGGGGGAAAAAAAAAGCUUUAGAUGGGUAACUGAUAAUUCUAUCAUGCUAACACAAUAAACAGUUUUCUCCUAAUUUCCAAAAUGUCUAUAAUUACUUUUAUCUUAAAAAAUGGAAACACACAUAUUUUUAUUUAUUUAUCUGAUUCAUGUUUUAAAGUAACAGUACUGGAAAUAUUAACUUUUUUAUUUUACUCUUUUUUAUAUCCUGCUACUACCUGAAAAUUUUGAGUUAGAGUUUGUUAAUUCUUUGUGUGUGUGUGUAUGAUAUUUAAAAAUAUCUUCAUUACAUUUUACACAAGUAAUAGAGUAAAGCAAUCUGCUUGUAAAUAUAGCGACCAGCACAGAAAAUACAGUUUGUGAGGAGUGAGACCUCUCUUCAUCAUACCCUUCUCUUGCCCUUGGCAGUACCAUGUUUUGCCUCAGAAGUUAACCGAUUAAUGCAUAUCAUUCCAAACAUUCCUGUGAACUUAUUUAAAUUAUUCCAGUGCAUUUAAAAAUAAACUGCAUUGUAUUAUGCUGUACGAAUUUUUUCUCUCUCAAUAUUGCAAUGUUUUCUGGAUAGCUUUCUCUCUCAGCACCAGCCAUGUGACCUCAUUCCUCUAACUGCUAGACAUCGGGAGAAGCAACUUCAGCGAAAGCCUGAUUAAUGAACUGGUGGCGAAGCAGUUAAAUUCUCCUUACCACUAGUGAUUAUGCUUAAAUCUGCGGAUUUCUUCCAGAAUUUCGACCAGUUUUUCUGUCAUGUUUUGUUUCCUGACUCUCUUGUCUGCCUGAUGGAGCAGUGAUGGAAUAGUGUCUCCGACCUGGUUGCCAAGAGGCUGAUGGAAAUGCCUUCUGUUCUGUUGCUUUUGGAAAGUAAGUGGUGUCAUUACAGUAAAACAAAUUUGAUUUUCAGUUUAAGUUGUCGUUUUAGCAUCUUGGCAUCAUUCUUGCCAAAGACCAACCCUUGUUUAUUCUCUUGCAUUACAAUAAAAAAAUGGAGAUCUACUCACCAGGGAAAAGAUGCCAGCGAGGCCAGACUGGAGGCAGAAACACUCAAGGAUGGCUCAGCUGCCGUCCAGCAUGGGAUAGUACCCAAACGCUAAGCCCAUCAGACUCCAGUGGGAGCAGCUCUAGAAUAAUCUGGCCCAAGCAUCCUGGCCCAGCUUCAGCGCUCCUAGAGGUUCUGCAAAAGACCAGGAGGGCUGCCACUACACUGACCAGCAUUUGCUCUUCCCGGACGCGCCCCGUGUUCACAGCCUUGGCUUUGAACAUGGUUUGAGCUCCUCUUUCAGGCCCUGCAAACUCCUUUCAAGGUCCACCUCAAAUGAAGGCUUCCUGGACCACCUGGUAAACUUGAUCUCUCUCUGUUGUGUGUUCAUAGCCCUCUGUUCACACCGUUGAAGCCUCUUAUCAGUUCCCACCUUGGGGUCUGUCUCUACUCCGAGCACUGAGUCAAGAGGAGAGAUGCUGACUGGCUCCUACUUGACAUUCUCAGUCUUUAUUCCGGUGCCUGGCAAGUAGGACCUGCUCAGGGGUUCCUCACUAGCUGGACUUUUAUAUACUUUUGACUUCCAGUUGGCUUUGACAACCAGGACGAGACCAUGCCAACUUUGACCUGGAUGGUUUGAGUCAAGAUAGCACACGUGACCUGAAAGAAUGAAGGCUUGUCUCGAGAACAGAGACUUUUCCUGCUCUAUUUGUUUUCCGUAUCACCUACUUCUAUUUUACUCAAGAGAUGUUAUAUUCUCUAUAAUAAAUCAUGUUUUGAGAAAAAGGUCUAGGCAGAACCUGCAGAGUUAUAUUCUUAAUAUAUUGUGUCUUUUUUUCCUCCCGAACACUACAAAUUACUCACUCUUCUAACCAAGCAGGACCCUAUGGGGGCUUCCAGGAACAGACCCCUUCUGCUGGAGCUCCUCUCUCAAGUACCCGGAUAACAGUAUCUGACGCACAUUUCCUGAGUUGCUUUACAGAUGUCAAAACCCCCCAGCAAAUGGAAGACGUUAAUUACUUGACGACCUUGAGCACACAGCCCCAGGCCUCCUGGAGCCUAAGGACUGAUAAUGUUAAAGGCUGUGACACCGCCCUGCGACCUCACCAUCAGCCAAUCAGAGAAUUGUGCACAAGCUGAUCUCGUACCCUGCGACACCCCCUCCCUCACCUGGCUUUUAAAUGUGCUUUGCCGAAACCCUUCGGGGAGCUCGGGGCUUUUUGGGGCGUGAGCCACCUCGUCUCUUUGUUUGGCCUUGCAAUAA